RNAcentral lists this small nucleolar RNA (136 nucleotides) under Triticum aestivum (bread wheat). RNAcentral describes it as "Small nucleolar RNA snoR2/U65". It matches the Rfam family "Small nucleolar RNA snoR2/U65". The record is from Rfam by way of RNAcentral. Lineage: Eukaryota; Viridiplantae; Streptophyta; Magnoliopsida; Poales; Poaceae.
GGCCCGAUGCCACGUCUCCGGUAGCCACAAGCCUUGACCGGAGAUGCUACAUUGUGCCGACAGAGAUUUUCACAUCUGAUAGGAACCUGUGGCUGUGAUUCAGUGGUACACAGAGCCGUUUUUUGUGAUUACACUU